RNAcentral lists this ribosomal RNA (496 nucleotides) under uncultured bacterium. Its description in RNAcentral is "partial 16S ribosomal RNA". It matches the Rfam family "Bacterial small subunit ribosomal RNA", at positions 30 to 523 of the family's 1533-position model. The record is from RNAcentral.
AUUGAACGCUGGCGGAAUGCUUUACACAUGCAAGUCGAACGGUAGAGGGGGCAACCCCUCGAGAGUGGCGAACGGGUGAGUAAUAUAUCGGAACGUGCCCAGUCAUGGGGGAUAACGUAGCGAAAGUUACGCUAAUACCGCAUACGAUCUAAGGAUGAAAGCGGGGGAUCGAAAGAACUCGCGCGAUUGGAGCGCCCGAUAUCAGAUUAGGUAGUUGGGGGGGUAAAGGCUCACCAGGCCAACGAUCUGUAGCUGGUCUGUGAGGACGACCAGCCACACUGGAACUGAGACACGGUCCAGACUCCUACGGGAGGCAGCAGUGGGGAAUUUUGGACAAUGGACGCAAGUCUGAUCCAGCCAUUCCGCGUGCAGGAUGAAGGCCCUCGGGUUGUAAACUGCUUUUGUACGGAACGAAAAGGUCUCUCUUAGUACGGGGGGCUCAUGACGGUACCGUAAGAAUAAGCACCGGCUAACUACGUGCCAGCCGCCGCGGUAA